Molecule: ribosomal RNA, 250 nt
Filed under: Fusarium silvicola
Lineage: Eukaryota; Fungi; Ascomycota; Sordariomycetes; Hypocreales; Nectriaceae
Description: partial small subunit ribosomal RNA
Rfam family: Eukaryotic small subunit ribosomal RNA (bases 1-105)
Source: RNAcentral
AACGAGACCUUAACCUGCUAAAUAGCCCGUAUUGCUUUGGCAGUACGCUGGCUUCUUAGAGGGACUAUCGGCUCAAGCCGAUGGAAGUUUGAGGCAAUAACAGGUUAACACACAGGCCUGUAACAGUGGGCCUCUAUAAAAAAGAUAACCGCUAGUCCAGCACUUUACCUCCGUAGGGGAAGCCCCCAACUAUCGGGCGGAGGAGGCACUCAGAUGCCGGGUGCGGGCAACACCACCUGGAACAGGGAAC